UGGGGAAUUUUGGACAAUGGGCGAAAGCCUGAUCCAGCAAUGCCGCGUGUGUGAAGAAGGCCUUCGGGUUGUAAAGCACUUUUGUCCGGAAAGAAAUCCUUGGCUCUAAUACAGUCGGGGGAUGACGGUACCGGAAGAAUAAGCACCGGGCUAACUACGUGCCAGCAGCCGCGGUAAUACGUAGGGUGCAAGCGUUAAUCGGAAUUACUGGGCGUAAAGCGUGCGCAGGCGGUUUGCUAAGACCGAUGUGAAAUCCCCGGGCUCAACCUGGGAACUGCAUUGGUGACUGGCAGGCUAGAGUAUGGCAGAGGGGGGUAGAAUUCCACGUGUAGCAGUGAAAUGCGUAGAGAUGUGGAGGAAUACCGAUGGCGAAGGCAGCCCCCUGGGCCAAUACUGACGCUCAUGCACGAAAGCGUGGGGAGCAAACAGGAUUNGAUACCCUGGUAGUCCACGCCCUAAACGAUGUC
Molecule: ribosomal RNA, 467 nt
Filed under: uncultured bacterium
Lineage: Bacteria
Description: partial 16S ribosomal RNA
Rfam family: Bacterial small subunit ribosomal RNA
Source: RNAcentral